GUUAAUAUUCUUUUUUACUUUUUGCGCAUUUUUUCCAUCUUUUACUUCAAAUACAAGUAUAGUUAGCAUAAAUUUUAGAGCAAAUUUGGAUGCUCAGAAUGCAGGAAAUGGCAUUUCCAUGCUUCAAAUUUCAAAAAUUUUCUGGAAAGGUUUUCAGAAAGGUUUUGAAAUUUACAAAAUCUUGCAAAAAUACAACUUGCAAGAAAUGUUUGUUGGCGCUGUCGUCAUGCAGUCGUUAUAGUGCAAAUUUCAAAUUUGACCAAUCAGUGUUCACUAUUCACGACAGUCCGCUCAUAUUUUGAGAUCAGUGAGGAUGACCACUACCCAUGAACGGUGAGCCGUGCGCCCGCGACAUUCGAUGAACUUAGACUUUGUUAGUGCGUUUCUUUCCCCGGGUGUAAAUAGCCGGGCGGAAAUAGUACCCUCACACCGGGCUUACGCCCGGAACGGCGCUCCGUUGGCUCGGGGAAAACAUUUUCUGUGUCAAGGCUAGUUUCCACCAGGGCCUGUUUCCACUCAGGAAAAUUAUCUAGUGCUCCACCCCUAGAAUAUAGACCUUACUGGGGUUUGGCGACACUUUGUGUUGCUCAGGGCCUUUUUUAACAUACAAGCUGGGGGGGGGG
Paramuricea clavata is the source of this 623-nucleotide non-coding RNA. The record is from the annotation of a GenBank genome assembly. NCBI's taxonomy places the organism in Eukaryota, Metazoa, Cnidaria, Anthozoa, Malacalcyonacea, Plexauridae.